This 148-nucleotide small RNA is filed under the name Arabidopsis thaliana (thale cress). RNAcentral describes it as "ATSL001580". The record is from RNAcentral. Lineage: Eukaryota; Viridiplantae; Streptophyta; Magnoliopsida; Brassicales; Brassicaceae.
GCGUCCUACAACGACACCGUUUUGACCUCUUCUAUUUUUUUCUUCGUUAAUCAUACGCACUAGAUUUUAACCCGCGGUACACCGCGGAGACAAUUCAUUUUUUAAAAUUAAUAUAUAUAUAAAACUUUGUAAAUUAUAUCUAAUUAUA